RNAcentral lists this ribosomal RNA (497 nucleotides) under uncultured bacterium. RNAcentral's name for it is "partial 16S ribosomal RNA". It matches the Rfam family "Bacterial small subunit ribosomal RNA", at positions 28 to 507 of the family's 1533-position model. The record is from RNAcentral.
GAUGAACGCUGGCGGCGUGCCUAAUACAUGCAAGUCGAGCGAACAGACGAGGAGCUUGCUCCUCUGACGUUAGCGGCGGACGGGUGAGUAACACGUGGAUAACCUACCUAUAAGACUGGGAUAACUUCGGGAAACCGGAGCUAAUACCGGAUAAUAUAUUGAACCGCAUGGUUCAAUAGUGAAAGACGGUUUUGCUGUCACUUAUAGAUGGAUCCGCGCCGCAUUAGCUAGUUGGUAAGGUAACGGCUUACCAAGGCAACGAUGCGUAGCCGACCUGAGAGGGUGAUCGGCCACACUGGAACUGAGACACGGUCCAGACGCCUACGGGAGGCAGCAGUAGGGAAUCUUCCGCAAAGGGCGAAAGCUUGACGGAGCAACGCCGCGUGAGUGAUGAAGGUCUUCGGAUCGUAAAACUCUGUUAUUAGGGAAGAACAAAUGUGUAAGUAACUAUGCACGUCUUGACGGUACCUAAUCAGAAAGCCACGGCUAACUACGUG